CGAAGAAAAACCUCAAGGGUUAAAAUCGUAACUCCAGUUGCUAACGAAAUGGCCAGGGUAGUUGCCGCGUAAAUGCUCAGAAUAUAAACCAACACGUACCGUAGCAGUCUUCCUUAAAUUUGUCGUCAACGACCCCCCAACCCAAGCCUCUCUAACUUUCUCUCACUUUCUCGCCCAUUUUCCUGCGCCAUUUUUUUUCCUUUUCGAACACUGUUUCCAUCUUCCCGGGACUAGGAAUUCCGUCUCCGACAAUGAAGAAACCAGGACUCUUUGCUGCCUCGGUGGCCGCAGCCUCUGCUACAGCCUUCUCUUCUUCGUCUUCUUCUUCUUCCUCGAACUCCACCAAUAGUACUCAACAGGAGGCUGAAUUGAAACAAACUAGAGAAAAUCAGAGGUCAUCUUCGACCGAAAAGUUUGCUCCAAAGUUUGACGGCCUGAGAUUCAUUGAAACCCUGAUCACUGCCCACAGAUAAGGUCGAUCAUCAAGUUUUCAGGGCUCCAUGGUGAUUGCUUCUGCAUCUCUUAGUCUUAUGCUGUUAACCAAAGAAAGUGAAGGCAAAAUUCAACCCCUUUUUUGUAGGCUUUCCCAUUGGAAAAUUAUGAACUGUAAUAUUUCAGGUCUUGUUCCAGAUUUUGGGGGAUCUAUGCAUGCAUGUAGCCCUUUUCUUUCUUUC
This is a long non-coding RNA of Juglans microcarpa x Juglans regia, 674 nucleotides long. RefSeq lists it as uncharacterized. Lineage: Eukaryota; Viridiplantae; Streptophyta; Magnoliopsida; Fagales; Juglandaceae. The transcript is spliced from 2 exons. The record is from RefSeq and is a predicted model, not a curated record.